Long non-coding RNA from Brassica napus (rape), 535 nucleotides. RefSeq lists it as uncharacterized. The record is from RefSeq and is a predicted model, not a curated record. NCBI's taxonomy places the organism in Eukaryota, Viridiplantae, Streptophyta, Magnoliopsida, Brassicales, Brassicaceae. The transcript is spliced from 2 exons.
UCACAUCUAUUUUCAACUGCUAGAAGGACGCAUCACAUCUUUUUUUUUCCUAUCUUGAAGCUUUCCCUUAAGACAUCAUAGUUACAGACUAUCAUAUAAAUGUGAGAAGAAAAAUGAGAUAUGAAGAUUUCAGAGAGUUUUAAUAUGAGAUGGAAAAGAAAAAACAUUCAGAGAUGGGAAAAAAAAUUUGAGAGGUUGAGACAGAAAAAGAUAAAUGAAAAGGGAGAGGAUGGGUGGAGCCUUUUUUCGAUUUCAUAGAAGAAUUUCUUUUGUCAAACAAAUCUAUACAGAUUAAGUUUAUAACAAGGAGAGAGACAAAAUGGUAGCGGCAAAGAUGGGAUACCGGUUUGGUCAAUACUACACCUAAGUCUAAAUAUAGGGGCAUACUCGUAUUAAUAAAAAAUGUACAGUUUUCAUGUCCAUUUACCUAAUAUCAGCUUAUAAUUUGUAUAUUUACCGCAAAUUCCCUAUAAAAUAUGUGUAUUAAUUAAGUAAUUUUUUAAAUUUUAAUGAUAAUGUGGAUAUCUAAGAUGAA